CGAAGGGGGCUAGCGUUACUCGGAAUGACUGGGCGUAAAGGGCGCGUAGGCGGUUUGCUUAGUUAGGCGUGAAAUUCCUGGGCUCGAACCUGGGGGCUGCGCUUAAUACAGGCAGACUAGAGUGUGAAAGAGGGUCGUGGAAUUUCCAGUGUAGAGGUGAAAUUCGUAGAUAUUGGAAAGAACACCGGUGGCGAAGGCGGCGACCUGGUUCAUUACUGACGCUGAGGCGCGAAAGCGUGGGGAGCAAACAGGAUUAGAUACCCUGGUAGUCCACGCCGUAAACGAUAUGUGCUGGAUGUUAGGCAACCUAGUUGCUUAGUGUCGUAGCUAACGCGGUAAGCACACCGCCUGGGGAGUACGGCCGCAAGGUUG
RNAcentral lists this ribosomal RNA (372 nucleotides) under uncultured organism. Its description in RNAcentral is "bacterial SSU rRNA". It matches the Rfam family "Bacterial small subunit ribosomal RNA", at positions 526 to 896 of the family's 1533-position model. The record is from RNAcentral.